UCGGGUAAUCGAGCCUUUAAAGGUUAGGAAAGUCCAUGCUAGCACAUCCUGAGAUGGAUGUAGUGUUUGUACCUAAGGAGAAAGUAACUUAGGGCUUAAUUGACGGCGAUUUAUUUACCUAAGUCUUUAGAUAUGGUAAAUAAGCAUAAAGUGCCACAGAGACGAAUCUUUUAGAAAUAAAAGGGUGAAACGCGGUAAACCCUGCAAGCUAGAAACCCAAAUUAUGGUAGGGGAGUCUUCCUGAAGGAAUUUAACGGAAGGAAGGACAGAAAAUAUCUGUAGAUAAAUGAUUACCGAACGCUUUAUAGCGGGAACAAAACAUGGCUUAUAG
RNAcentral lists this RNase P RNA (331 nucleotides) under pig gut metagenome. RNAcentral's name for it is "Bacterial RNase P class B". It matches the Rfam family "Bacterial RNase P class B". Rfam says of the family: Ribonuclease P (RNase P) is a ubiquitous endoribonuclease, found in archaea, bacteria and eukarya as well as chloroplasts and mitochondria. Its best characterised activity is the generation of mature 5'-ends of tRNAs by cleaving the 5'-leader elements of precursor-tRNAs. Cellular RNase Ps are ribonucleoproteins. The record is from RNAcentral.